UGGGGAAUAUUGGACAAUGGGCGGAAGCCUGAUCCAGCAACGCCGCGUGAGGGAUGACGGCCUUCGGGUUGUAAACCUCUUUCAGCACAGACGAAGCGAAAGUGACGGUAUGUGCAGAAGAAGGACCGGCCAACUACGUGCCAGCAGCCGCGGUAAUACGUAGGGUCCGAGCGUUGUCCGGAAUUAUUGGGCGUAAAGGGCUCGUAGGCGGUUUGUCACGUCGGGAGUGAAAACCAGGUGCUUAACACCUGGCCUGCUUCCGAUACGGGCUGACUAGAGGUAUUCAGGGGAGAAUGGAAUUCCUGGUGUAGCGGUGAAAUGCGCAGAUAUCAGGAGGAACACCGGUGGCGAAGGCGGUUCUCUGGGAAUGACCUGACGCUGAGGAGCGAAAGUGUGGGGAGCGAACAGG
RNAcentral lists this ribosomal RNA (409 nucleotides) under uncultured bacterium. RNAcentral describes it as "bacterial SSU rRNA". It matches the Rfam family "Bacterial small subunit ribosomal RNA", at positions 355 to 776 of the family's 1533-position model. The record is from RNAcentral.